AACGAACGCUGGCGGCAUGCCUAACACAUGCAAGUCGAACGAGACCUUCGGGUCUAGUGGCGCCCGGGUGCGUAACGCGUGGGAACCUGCCCUUAUGGUCGGAAUAACUCCCCGACAGGGGUGCUAAUACCGGAUAAUGUCUUCGGACCAAAGAUUUAUCGCCUUUGGAUGGGCCCGCGUUGGAUUAGCUAGUUGGUAGGGUAAAAGGCUACCAAGGCGACGAUCCAUAGCUGGUCUGAGAGGAUGAUCAGCCACACUGGGACUGAGACACGGCCCAGACUCCUACGCGAGGCAGCAGUGGGGAAUAUUGGACAAUGGGCGAAAGCCUGAUCCAGCAAUGCCGGGUGAGUGAUGAAGGCCGUAGGGUUGUAAAGCUCUUUUACCCGGGAUGAUAAUGACAGUACCGGGAGAAUAAGCCCCGGCUAACUCCGUG
Molecule: ribosomal RNA, 433 nt
Filed under: uncultured bacterium
Lineage: Bacteria
Description: partial 16S ribosomal RNA
Rfam family: Bacterial small subunit ribosomal RNA
Source: RNAcentral